RNAcentral lists this transfer RNA (76 nucleotides) under Coriobacteriia bacterium. Its description in RNAcentral is "tRNA-Arg". It matches the Rfam family "tRNA". From Rfam's summary of the family: Transfer RNA (tRNA) molecules are approximately 80 nucleotides in length. Their secondary structure includes four short double-helical elements and three loops (D, anti-codon, and T loops). RNAcentral also lists the same sequence under 2 other names. The record is from RNAcentral. Lineage: Bacteria; Bacillati; Actinomycetota; Coriobacteriia.
GCCCUCUUAGCUCAGGGGAUAGAGCGUCUGCCUCCGGAGCAGAAGGUCGUAGGUUCGAAUCCUACAGAGGGCACCA